This 388-nucleotide ribosomal RNA is filed under the name uncultured bacterium. RNAcentral's name for it is "bacterial SSU rRNA". It matches the Rfam family "Bacterial small subunit ribosomal RNA", at positions 29 to 417 of the family's 1533-position model. The record is from RNAcentral.
AUUGAACGCUGGCGGCGUGCCUAACACAUGCAAGUCGAGCGGUAACAGGUGUAGCAAUACAUGCUGACGAGCGGCGAACGGGUGAGUAAUGCUUCGGAAUCUACCCAAUGGUGGGAAUAACCAGCCGAAAGGUUGGCUAAUACCGCAUACGUCCCACGGGAGAAAGCAGGGGAUCGCAAGACCUUGCGCCAAUGGAUGAGCCGAAGUCGGAUUAGCUAGNGGUAGGGUAACGGCCUACCAAGGCGACGAUCCGUAGCUGGUCUGAGAGGACGACCAGCCACACUGGGACUGAGACACGGCCCAGACUCCUACGGGAGGCAGCAGUGGGGAAUAUUGGACAAGUGGGGGAAACCCUGAUCCAGCGACGCCGCGUGUGUGAAGAAGGCCU